RNAcentral lists this long non-coding RNA (215 nucleotides) under Lathyrus oleraceus (garden pea). RNAcentral describes it as "Pisum sativum (pea) long non-coding RNA (PSAT_LNC037737)". Lineage: Eukaryota; Viridiplantae; Streptophyta; Magnoliopsida; Fabales; Fabaceae. The record is from RNAcentral.
CAUUGAUUGACUUUGAUUCUAUUCAUGUUUGAUCAAUGUGUGUUGGUUGUUUCAUUUGAAUUUUAAUUCAUAUACAUUCUUAUUCUUCUUCUUCUUCUUUUUUUUAUCAAUGAGUUAAUGAUUGGUGGUUAGCCUUGACAUAUGAGGGGCUUAACCUUCUUUGAUUCAAAUCUAAUUCAUCUUGAUCAAAGAUCAAGUGAAUGGCUUUUCAUUAG